RNAcentral lists this ribosomal RNA (250 nucleotides) under uncultured prokaryote. RNAcentral describes it as "partial 16S ribosomal RNA". It matches the Rfam family "Bacterial small subunit ribosomal RNA", at positions 524 to 773 of the family's 1533-position model. The record is from RNAcentral.
UACGUAUGGGGCAAGCGUUAUCCGGAUUCACUGGGUGUAAAGGGGGCGCAGGCGGCUUUGCAAGUCUGGCGUGAAAACCCUCGGCUCAACCGGGGGACUGCGCUGGAAACUGUAGAGCUAGAGUGUCGGAGGGGCAGGCGGAAUUCCUGGUGUAGCGGUGAAAUGCAUAGAUAUCAGGAGGAACACCGGUGGCGAAGGCGGCCUGCUGGACGAUAACUGACGCUGAGACCCGAAAGCGUGGGGAGCAAAC